This 333-nucleotide ribosomal RNA is filed under the name uncultured Alphaproteobacteria bacterium. RNAcentral describes it as "bacterial SSU rRNA". It matches the Rfam family "Bacterial small subunit ribosomal RNA", at positions 954 to 1283 of the family's 1533-position model. Lineage: Bacteria; Pseudomonadati; Pseudomonadota; Alphaproteobacteria. The record is from RNAcentral.
ACGCAACGCGCAGAACCUUACCAGCCCUUGACAUCCCGGUCGCGGACUCCAGAGACGGAGUUCUUCAGUUCGGCUGGACCGGAGACAGGUGCUGCAUGGCUGUCGUCAGCUCGUGUCGUGAGAUGUUGGGUUAAGUCCCGCAACGAGCGCAACCCCCGUCCUUAAUUGCUACCAUUCAGUUGAGCACUCUAAGGAGACUGCCGGUGAUAAGCCGCGAGGAAGGUGGGGAUGACGUCAAGUCCUCAUGGCCCUUACGGGCUGGGCUACACACGUGCUACAAUGGCGGUGACAAUGGGAAGCGAAGACGCAAGUCCUAGCAAAUCUCAAAAAAAA